RNAcentral lists this ribosomal RNA (382 nucleotides) under uncultured bacterium. RNAcentral's name for it is "bacterial SSU rRNA". It matches the Rfam family "Bacterial small subunit ribosomal RNA", at positions 29 to 401 of the family's 1533-position model. The record is from RNAcentral.
AACGAACGCUGGCGGCGCGCUUAACACAUGCAAGUCGAACGAGAAGGCGUAGCAAUACGCUUGUACAGUGGCGAACGGGUGGGAAUACAUGGGUGACCUACCCUCGAGGUGGGGAUAACCCGCCGAAAGGCGGGCUAAUACCGCGUACGCUUCCGAUCUCGCGGGAUUGGAAAGGAAAGCUGUCCCGUUGGGGAUGGCGCUCAAGGAUGGGCUCAUGUCCUAUCAGCUUUGGGUAGGGUAACGGCCUACCAAGGCAUCGACGGGUAGCUGGUCUGAGAGGACGAUCAGCCACACUGGCACUGCGACACGGGCCAGACUCCUACGGGAGGCAGCAGUGAGGAAUAUUGCGCAAUGGGCGAAAGCCUGACGCAGCGACGCCGCG